This 633-nucleotide ribosomal RNA is filed under the name Oxalobacteraceae bacterium Se3Ps_2499. Its description in RNAcentral is "bacterial SSU rRNA". It matches the Rfam family "Bacterial small subunit ribosomal RNA", at positions 380 to 1006 of the family's 1533-position model. The record is from RNAcentral. Lineage: Bacteria; Pseudomonadati; Pseudomonadota; Betaproteobacteria; Burkholderiales; Oxalobacteraceae.
ACCCUGAUCCAGCAAUGCCGCGUGAGUGAAGAAGGCCUUCGGGUUGUAAAGCUCUUUUGUCAGGGAAGAAACGGUGCGGGCUAAUAUCUCGUGCUAAUGACGGUACCUGAAGAAUAAGCACCGGCUAACUACGUGCCAGCAGCCGCGGUAAUACGUAGGGUGCAAGCGUUAAUCGGAAUUACUGGGCGUAAAGCGUGCGCAGGCGGUUUUGUAAGACUGUCGUGAAAUCCCCGGGCUCAACCUGGGAAUGGCGAUGGUGACUGCAAGGCUAGAGUUUGGCAGAGGGGGGUAGAAUUCCACGUGUAGCAGUGAAAUGCGUAGAUAUGUGGAGGAACACCGAUGGCGAAGGCAGCCCCCUGGGUCAAAACUGACGCUCAUGCACGAAAGCGUGGGGAGCAAACAGGAUUAGAUACCCUGGUAGUCCACGCCCUAAACGAUGUCUACUAGUUGUCGGGUUUUAAUUAACUUGGUAACGCAGCUAACGCGUGAAGUAGACCGCCUGGGGAGUACGGUCGCAAGAUUAAAACUCAAAGGAAUUGACGGGGACCCGCACAAGCGGUGGAUGAUGUGGAUUAAUUCGAUGCAACGCGAAAAACCUUACCUACCCUUGACAUGGAUGGAAUCCUGGAGAGA